Podarcis lilfordi (Lilford's wall lizard) is the source of this 78-nucleotide non-coding RNA. The record is from the annotation of a GenBank genome assembly. Lineage: Eukaryota; Metazoa; Chordata; Lepidosauria; Squamata; Lacertidae.
GCAUGGUAGCUCAGUUGGUUAGAGCAUGGUGCUGAUGACACCAAGGUUGCAGGUUCGAUCCUCAUAAGAACAGCUGCA